This 306-nucleotide ribosomal RNA is filed under the name uncultured bacterium. Its description in RNAcentral is "partial 16S ribosomal RNA". It matches the Rfam family "Bacterial small subunit ribosomal RNA", at positions 507 to 808 of the family's 1533-position model. The record is from RNAcentral.
GACAGCAGUAGCCGCGGGAAUACGGAGGGGGCUAGCGUUGUUCGGAAUUACUGGGCGUAAAGCGCACGUAGGCGGCUUUGUAAGUCAGAGGUGAAAGCCCGGGGCUCAACCCCGGAAUUGCCUUUGAGACUGCAUCGCUUGAAUCCAGGAGAGGUGAGUGGAAUUCCGAGUGUAGAGGUGAAAUUCGUAGAUAUUCGGAAGAACACCAGUGGCGAAGGCGGCUCACUGGACUGGUAUUGACGCUGAGGUGCGAAAGCGUGGGGAGCAACAGGAUUAGAUACCCCGGUAGUCCCUGUCUCUUAUACA